Molecule: long non-coding RNA, 272 nt
Organism: Suricata suricatta (meerkat)
Lineage: Eukaryota; Metazoa; Chordata; Mammalia; Carnivora; Herpestidae
Exons: 2
Source: RefSeq, a predicted model, not a curated record
CUCUUUCUGAAGUGAACUUUGCAGGAGCGUUGGCCUCUCUCCAGUUUCAGCAAGCUGAGGAUCCUUGGCAUGGCCUUCGCUCUGAGCUCCAUGGAGCAUUGUAACUGCUGGUGCUGGGGGAAGAGGCAGUCCCAAGCAGGGGCCUGGUGGAGCUCAGAUGAGAAUACGUCCAUGUCCAGGAUGGGUGAGACCAGGGGGCCCUAGUGCUUGGAAAACACCGCAAAAAAGGUUUAUGUGUCCUGUGUGAUAAAACCCAAAUGUACUUGUCCAAA